AUUAGAAUUCCUCUGAGCCUAAACAUUACCCUUCCCAAACCCAUGUAAACCUGGCCCAAAUCUUGCUUAAACCCGCCCCACACGCCCAAAAUACACGAUAGUCAUCAGAGACCCCAAAAAUCACAAAAUCCCUAAUUCUCUCAAUGCGUACUGCGCACUGUUCAUCUUCUUCUCCAUCUCAGUCACAUUCAACUCACCAAAUCCCAAGUGAAUGAGCUCAAAUUCACCCCACGCGUUCCCUCUCCCUCCUCGUCACCAUAUUUGUAACGACCUCUGACAGAUUCUCUCGUCCCCAUCCCUUUCUCACGUGAUGUAAGCCUCUAGAAGGCAUAUGCUGGAUGAAUGGGGAGUGUGUGAUCGUUUUGGAUUGGUCCCACCCCUUCAUUCAUCAGGUGUUUUCCUGAUAACUAUAUGGAAUUUUGGGGAUAACAGGGGAUGGAUUUUCAGAGAGAUUUUCGGGGAUUCGGGACUCUGGUAAAAACUUUGGAGAAAAAGGUUGAAAGAUUUUUUCAAACUUUUGGUUUUCUGAUUCCAUUUUCUUUUUUAAAAGAGUUCUUUCAAAGGUUAAGAGAAGCAUACACAUUUUUUUUUAAUUUUUCUGAGUCCAUCCUAGACUUCUAAAGAGAUGAAAAAACUGAGUUGAAGUUCAAGCUUGGGUUUACUGUUGUUGUUCUGCUGAGUUGUUGUUAAACCUCGCUAGUAUUUGAAGGCAAAAAGCGAAUUAUUAAGGCUUUAAUUAUUAACGAAGUUUGCAACUUCACGCUUGAUUUUCUUUUUCACCAUGUAACACUAUUUCUUUUUAAAAAAUGUUCUUGAGCUGUGCAAUCUAUCUAGAAUGGUAUGAUUGAAUUUCUUGCUGGGGAAUCUCUUCUCACUGGUGUGACGAAUUUGAGUAUGUUCAGUUAGUAAAGUUGAGUUUGAGGGGUUGUACUCUAUGCUUAUAUGAUUUAACUGUUAUUAUGGCGUCGAGUUUUCAUUUGAGUUGAAUUUUGUCGUUUUCGAAUGAACGUUUGUUUUCAGCUUGGAGAUGUUAUUUUUCUUGAAGAUGUCACACUAUUGUCAUUUUAAGUCAACUGUUUCUCUUAACGUUUGCAAAGCUGUCCUGUUUUGGUUGUUUAGUCUGUUAGCUUAAGAUGCUCUAAAAUUGGGAUUUUGAAUCAUGUUUUGCUUGAUUUUGAAUGUGAUAGUGUUAGUAUGAAGUGAUGCAUUGAGGUGUAAUUGGUUUCUGUUUGAAUAAGCUCUCAUGAGAAGGAUGUCGGAGUCAUUUGUUCAUUAGUCGAUUAGCUCGAGUAUGCUGAAGUUUGUUUUGUGCGCUUAAAGCGAUCUAGUGUUUGAAGCUAUCCUCGUCAUUUUAUUGUUAGCAAACCUGUUAAAGCUCUAGUGUUUGAGGUUCUGUUGUUCAGGUUAUUGAAUCAA
This 1416-nucleotide long non-coding RNA is filed under the name Nicotiana benthamiana. Its description in RNAcentral is "long non-coding RNA (NBEN_LNC006500)". The record is from RNAcentral. Lineage: Eukaryota; Viridiplantae; Streptophyta; Magnoliopsida; Solanales; Solanaceae.